RNAcentral lists this ribosomal RNA (253 nucleotides) under uncultured bacterium. RNAcentral describes it as "partial 16S ribosomal RNA". It matches the Rfam family "Bacterial small subunit ribosomal RNA", at positions 524 to 776 of the family's 1533-position model. The record is from RNAcentral.
UACGUAGGGUGCGAGCGUUGUCCGGAAUUAUUGGGCGUAAAGGGCUCGUAGGCGGUUUGUCGCGUCGGGAGUGAAAACCUUGGGCUUAACUCAGGGCUUGCUUUCGAUACGGGCAGACUAGAGGUAUGCAGGGGAGAACGGAAUUCCUGGUGUAGCGGUGAAAUGCGCAGAUAUUGGGAGGAAUGCCGAAAGCGAAAGCAGCUAACUAUAAUUAUCCUGACAGUGAGAGACGAAAGCAUGGGUAGCAAACGGG